UUACAUCUCUUUAAUAUUACAUGUCCACAAUAUUCUAUUACAAACUCUUCUCUCUUCUUGUACUCUGCUGGACUUCCCCUAUACACUGUACACUGAACCUGCAAGACUGGGGUUAAGGGAGUGGGAUGAGCUCUAUAGCCCAGUGAGUAGAACCGUACAAUAAGUCAUAAACACAUGAUCUAUGGAAUGCAUCAUAUCACAGACAAUUCAUAUCAAGGGUAAACCUGUCACCACAUAGUCUCGGUAGCUCUACCAUGCCAGGGCGUAGAAUCGAGCACCUGGUCUUCCUGUCAUAUAUGUAUACGUAUAUAUAACACCUGUGUACUUACCAUUGCUAGGGCGUAGUCAAAGGCUCCUGGACUUUUCUAUACCUGCCAGGGCGUAGUCAAAGGCUCCUGGACUUCUCUAUACCUGCCAGGGCAUAGUCAAAGGCUCCUGGACUUCUCUCAGAGACUAUUGGAUCAUUCAGCAUUCACCCACAUCAACAAAUAACUAUGCAAUGCAACAUAUUCGUGGAGUCUAAUGCAACAACCUACUGUAUGCUCAUGAUGCAUGCAUUAUGCUAAAAGUAUUUCCUUUUUCAAGUAAAAGAAUUAAGUUUAGUUCCACUCACCUCUGGCUAUCUGGACUGACUCUGCAGGCUCUGUAAAUGCUGGAGCAGUACUCACUGCUACUCUCUCUGGUUUCUCUGGUCUGUGCCUACACAGAUGGACUCAAAUGAGGAACCAAACUAGCUUAGGAACAACUCUAUUAAACUCCCCAAGAAUCCCC
RNAcentral lists this long non-coding RNA (771 nucleotides) under Manihot esculenta (cassava). RNAcentral describes it as "long non-coding RNA (MESC_LNC004575)". Lineage: Eukaryota; Viridiplantae; Streptophyta; Magnoliopsida; Malpighiales; Euphorbiaceae. The record is from RNAcentral.